UCCAGACUCCUACGGGAGGCAGCAGUGGGGAAUAUUGCACAAUGGGGGAAACCCUGAUGCAGCGACGCCGCGUGAGUGAAGAAGUAUCUCGGUACGUAAAGCUCUAUCAGCAGGGAAGAUAAUGACGGUACCUGACCAAGAAGCCCCGGCUAAAUACGUGCCAGCAGCCGCGGUAAUACGUAUGGGGCAAGCGUUAUCCGGAUUUACUGGGUGUAAAGGGAGCGUAGGCGGCCUGGCAAGCCUGAUGUGAAAUACCGGGGCCCAACCCCGGGGCUGCAUUGGGAACUGCCAGGCUGGAGUGCCGGAGAGGCAGGCGGAAUUCCUAGUGUAGCGGUGAAAUGCGUAGAUAUUAGGAGGAACACCAGUGGCGAAGGCGGCCUGCUGGACGGUGACUGACGCUGAGGCUCGAAAGCGUGGGGAGCAAACAGGAUUAGAUCCCCCCGUA
RNAcentral lists this ribosomal RNA (445 nucleotides) under uncultured bacterium. RNAcentral describes it as "bacterial SSU rRNA". It matches the Rfam family "Bacterial small subunit ribosomal RNA", at positions 330 to 792 of the family's 1533-position model. The record is from RNAcentral.